Molecule: ribosomal RNA, 592 nt
Filed under: uncultured bacterium
Lineage: Bacteria
Description: bacterial SSU rRNA
Rfam family: Bacterial small subunit ribosomal RNA
Source: RNAcentral
CCUACGGGAGGCAGCAGUGGGGAAUAUUGGACAAUGGGCGAAAGCCUGAUCCAGCAAUGCCGCGUGAGUGAUGAAGGCCUUCGGGUCGUAAAGCUCUUUUACCAGGGAUGAUAAUGACAGUACCUGGAGAAUAAGCUCCGGCUAACUCCGUGCCAGCAGCCGCGGUAAUACGGAGGGAGCUAGCGUUGUUCGGAAUUACUGGGCGUAAAGAGUACGUAGGCGGUUAUUCAAGUCAGAGGUGAAAGCCCGGGGCUCAGCCCCGGAACUGCCUUUGAAACUAGAUAACUAGAGUCUUGGAGAGGUUAGUGGAAUUCCGAGUGUAGAGGUGAAAUUCGUAGAUAUUCGGAAGAACACCAGUGGCGAAGGCGACUAACUGGACAAGUACUGACGCUGAGGUACGAAAGCGUGGGGAGCAAACAGGAUUAGAUACCCUGGUAGUCCACGCCGUAAACGAUGAUAACUAGUUGUUCGGUCACUUGGUGACUGAGUGACGCAGCUAACGCAUUAAGUUAUCCGCCUGGGGAUACGGUCGCAAGAUUAAAACUCAAAAUGAAUUGACCGGNNGAGACGNGCGAGACGACGACGAGGAGAG